AAUUUGCUGGGCAACGGUAGAUUUGCCUGGGCCGCCUUUUGUGCCGCCAACCACAAUGAUCUUGGUCAUUGGUGAGUUCCC
Molecule: transfer RNA, 81 nt
Filed under: Enterobacter cloacae
Lineage: Bacteria; Pseudomonadati; Pseudomonadota; Gammaproteobacteria; Enterobacterales; Enterobacteriaceae
Also listed under: 10 other names
Description: tRNA-Lys(ttt)
Source: RNAcentral